Long non-coding RNA from Sarcophilus harrisii (Tasmanian devil), 1584 nucleotides. NCBI's taxonomy places the organism in Eukaryota, Metazoa, Chordata, Mammalia, Dasyuromorphia, Dasyuridae. The record is from Ensembl.
CUUAAAGUGAGUAUAAAUAGCAACUGUUGUAGCCAGAAACCUUUAGAGUCUUCCCCUCUCAGUUUGAUUUUUUUUUUUUUUGAGUAGGCAAACCAGGUCAUUUUUUGCCUCAUUUCUUAGAUAAUCUGAAAUCACUGGAUUGGUAUUGCCUCUUAAAAACAGACCUGGGAAUGACUUUAGCAAAAAGCAUAAAAAGGCCAGGGUCUUCCACUGCAUUUGGGGUCAUUUUCUGUUGCCCUGAUCUAUAUUUUGCCACUGGACUCAGAUAAUCUUGGAGAAGAGAGUGAGAUUGUUGACCUUGAACAGUUCUACGCCAUUUAAAUUCAGAGUUAAGAAAACAGUUCCUGUCUCGGAAACUUUCUAACUAUGUAACCCUAGAGAUACAUUUCCUAAGCCCUGGAAUAUCAUAGGAUCCUAGAAGGACAGAUGAAACAUCCGAGAUCAUCUGGUUCAAUUUCCUUAUUUUAUAUUAGAGAAAACUGAGAUCCUUGGAGUAUGGUACAAGGAAAAAUACAAUGGAGAGUGGAGAGCAUACAUCUAGAAGACAGGAUACUGUCAUUUUUCUGCAGACACCACAGCACUCAGACUGUAAGGAGACAUGAUCCUGAUUCUUCUGGGAAUCCACUCCCUGUUGCUGCUAUUGUUCCACCAGGGACUAGCAGGAGAUCCCCCCUUUGUGGCUAAGCGGCAACUAGCUGAGCAGCCUGGACAGCCUGUCAACAAUAGAAUGUCAAUGUCUGACAAUUGGUCCUACAAAAAAAGGAGAUUCUUAGAAAAGUAUGUUGAUGAAGUAGAGAUCCCUCUGCCUCCAGAUGUGUACUGUAAUAUCUUGGUUAGGAACAGAAACAUCAUGGUUUCUUCGAGCCCAUGCAAGAAAGAACACUAUUUCAUUCAUGACUCCUGGAAUAAUAUACUAAAGUUGUGUGAAAAUAACAACAUCCCAUGCAAGAAUUCCACAAAUAGUUGUCAUCAGAGCACAAAAACUAUGGCUAUGACAACUUGUCGGCUACUCAAUGGUGAUCAGUUCCCUUAUUGUGAAUACAUAUCCAUUAAAAAAAAGAAAAAGGUAGUCCUUUCCUGCAAACAGCUGAAAGGUUAUCCUUCUCUUUUCCCUGAUUCUGUGGAAAAAAUUGUUGAGUAAGCCAAAGGGAUGAACUGUCCAGUUCAGUAGGCUGAAAGCACUGGGUUCUACUUUUGCCUCAUCCAACUUCAUAGGCUAUCUUCAGAAGUAAGAAGGAUGGAUAGAGUAUCAAAGGCAUGAAUUCUAUCCAUGGUGUUGUUUUGUGAAGAAAACUGAAAUUACAAGUUCCACUGCAUCUAUUUCCAUCAUUCUGUAAGUAGCAGGAGCUAGUCUUAGGUUGGAAAAAACUCUCUAACCUGGUUGCUGAUUGGAGAGAGUAUUUGAUUGUGGGUGGACAUAGUAGGUGACAGUGAGAGGAAGGAGGGACUUUCUUAAUUUGCAUGUCAGUGCUUUGCUGAUCUGAGUCAUUUAUAUAAAAACAAUAAAGUGCAUUGUUCUAGAUAAAUUUUUUUGUGUAUCUUUUUUUAAAAUAAAAAUUCUCAUUUCCAAAACCCCUACCAUAU